UGGGGAAUUUUGGACAAUGGGCGCAAGCCUGAUCCAGCCAUGCCGCGUGCGGGAAGAAGGCCUUCGGGUUGUAAACCGCUUUUGUCAGGGAAGAAAUCCUUUGAGCUAAUACCUCGGGGGGAUGAUGGUACCUGAAGAAUAAGCACCGGCUAACUACGUGCCAGCAGCCGCGGUAAUACGUAGGGUGCAAGCGUUAAUCGGAAUUACUGGGCGUAAAGCGUGCGCAGGCGGUUUUGUAAGUCUGAUGUGAAAUCCCCGGGCUCAACCUGGGAACUGCGUUUGUGACUGCAUAACUAGAGUACGGCAGAGGGAGGUGGAAUUCCGCGUGUAGCAGUGAAAUGCGUAGAUAUGCGGAGGAACACCGAUGGCGAAGGCAAUCCCCUGGACCUGUACUGACGCUCAUGCACGAAAGCGUGGGGAGCAAACA
This 427-nucleotide ribosomal RNA is filed under the name uncultured bacterium. Its description in RNAcentral is "bacterial SSU rRNA". It matches the Rfam family "Bacterial small subunit ribosomal RNA", at positions 355 to 774 of the family's 1533-position model. The record is from RNAcentral.